Small nucleolar RNA from Vulpes vulpes (red fox), 72 nucleotides. The record is from Ensembl. NCBI's taxonomy places the organism in Eukaryota, Metazoa, Chordata, Mammalia, Carnivora, Canidae.
UGGAACAGUGAUGACAAGUGAUUGAUGAAUCAUGGGUGAUGAGCAAUUUGUGUCUGGAUAUACAAGGUCCAA